GAUUUGUGUGCUUGUUAUAACAAAUAGCUUCGCUAGUUACUCUUUGGCACUCUAAAGGAUUUUAGGACUCCCACUUCGAUACUUUAUUGUCUUAAGCUUUGAACCUAUGAAUCGACAUCCUAAUGGAUACCCUAUGCAUCAUGUUCAGCCAUGAAUCCUUUAUCCAAGAGUGGAAUUGACCAAGAAACUUAUUGAUAGCUUUAAAGUGCCUAUUGGGGUCGGGUGCCCAAAACUCCAUAAAAUCGGCUUCUUUUUGCCAUGAAGUGUGCAUGUAGGGCAAGAUGAAGUCCAAGAGCUUUCCUUUAGCAUGGAAAUCGGUUGAGAAACCAUUUCAUUCCUAGGGUUCAACAAAAUUUCUUGAGGAAACUGAAACUAUCUUUUAAGACUUCUCUCAUAUGCUAAUGGUUCACUUUGCAACUCUUGCACUUACUUGUGCUUCUAGGCUUAUUUUUAGGUCAGGUAUCAAUAGUAGUUUAAUUUGAGUUAAUAAUUGCGUCAUUAUACAUUAAGGAUUUUGGUUCAAUUUGUU
This 529-nucleotide unclassified non-coding RNA is filed under the name Hevea brasiliensis (rubber tree). The record is from RNAcentral. Lineage: Eukaryota; Viridiplantae; Streptophyta; Magnoliopsida; Malpighiales; Euphorbiaceae.